UACGUAGGGUGCGAGCGUUGUCCGGAAUUACUGGGCGUAAAGAGCUCGUAGGUGGUUUGUCGCGUUGUCCGUGAAAACUCACAACUCAAUUGUGGGCGUGCGGGCGAUACGGGCAGACUGGAGUACUGCAGGGGAGACUGGAAUUCCUGGUGUAGCGGUGGAAUGCGCAGAUAUCAGGAGGAACACCGGUGGCGAAGGCGGGUCUCUGGGCAGUAACUGACGCUGAGGAGCGAAAGUGCGGUGGGAGCAACAGG
This 254-nucleotide ribosomal RNA is filed under the name uncultured bacterium. RNAcentral describes it as "partial 16S ribosomal RNA". It matches the Rfam family "Bacterial small subunit ribosomal RNA", at positions 524 to 776 of the family's 1533-position model. The record is from RNAcentral.